This 397-nucleotide ribosomal RNA is filed under the name uncultured Succinivibrio sp. RNAcentral's name for it is "bacterial SSU rRNA". It matches the Rfam family "Bacterial small subunit ribosomal RNA", at positions 355 to 749 of the family's 1533-position model. Lineage: Bacteria; Pseudomonadati; Pseudomonadota; Gammaproteobacteria; Aeromonadales; Succinivibrionaceae. The record is from RNAcentral.
UGAGGAAUAUUGGUCAAUGGGCGCAGGCCUGAACCAGCCAAGUCGCGUGAGGGAUGACGGUCCUACGGAUUGUAAACCUCUUUUGUCGGGGAGUAACGUGCGGGACGCGUCCCGUAUUGAGAGUACCCGAAGAAAAAGCAUCGGCUAACUCCGUGCCAGCAGCCGCGGUAAUACGGAGGGUGCAAGCGUUAAUCGGAAUAACUGGGCGUAAAGGGCAUGCAGGCGGUUAUACAAGUAGGAUGUGAAAGCCUGGGGCUCAACCUCAGAACUGCAUUCUAAACUGUGUGACUAGAGUAUUGCAGGGGGAGACGGAAUUUCAGGUGUAGCGGUGGAAUGCGUAGAUAUCUGAAAGAACACCAAAGGCGAAGGCAGUCUCCUGGGCAAAUACUGACGCUCA